Molecule: ribosomal RNA, 405 nt
Filed under: uncultured bacterium
Lineage: Bacteria
Description: bacterial SSU rRNA
Rfam family: Bacterial small subunit ribosomal RNA
Source: RNAcentral
UGAGGAAUAUUGGUCAAUGGACGAGAGUCUGAACCAGCCAAAUCGCGUGAAGGAAGACUGCCCUACGGGUUGUAAACUUCUUUUGUACAGGAAUAAAAGACAUUACGUGUAAUGUAUUGCAUGUACUGUACGCAUAAGCAUCGGCUAACUCCGUGCCAGCAGCCGCGGUAAUACGGAGGAUGCGAGCGUUAUCCGGAUUUAUUGGGUUUAAAGGGUGCGCAGGCGGGAUUUUAAGUCAGCGGUGAAAUUUUCAGGCUCAACCUGAACACUGCCGUUGAAACUGGGAUUCUUGAGUAUGGAUGAAGUAGGCGGAAUUCGUUGUGUAGCGGUGACAUGCUUAGAUAUAACGAGGAACUCCGAUUGCGUAGGCAUCUUACUAAGCCAUAACUGACGCUCAAGCACGAA